This is a long non-coding RNA of Engraulis encrasicolus (European anchovy), 420 nucleotides long. RefSeq lists it as uncharacterized. NCBI's taxonomy places the organism in Eukaryota, Metazoa, Chordata, Actinopteri, Clupeiformes, Engraulidae. The transcript is spliced from 3 exons. The record is from RefSeq and is a predicted model, not a curated record.
GCGGCCAAGAGCUCCUUCACACGUGCAGACAAAGAGACCCAACAACACAACCAAAAUAUGCACUUCCAAACUUUUUGCAUCCCGAUAUCUUCGCUGGGAAACUGUGAAAAAUGCAGUGCUUGGACGCAGAGGCCACACUCACUCCGCCUCACCACAAAAAUGGAAUGCUCAUAUUUUGGAAGGAAAUCGCCUUUGGAUGGAUUUCGGGGAUUUACCAGUGACAUUUUGGCAAAGAGACUCUAUUUUCUGUCCUCUGGAAUACUGCUGCGCAGCGACAUUUUGGAUUACGCUCUCCUUCAGAAAAUGGAUUAUCAUCAUCAAGGGAUUGAAGUGACACCUCAAUCUGCCGAGAAUGCAGUGCCCUGUUGGAUGGAGAGACCAGGAGGGAGCGAAAGGGAAGAAGGGGUGGAGCCAUGAGGU